RNAcentral lists this ribosomal RNA (144 nucleotides) under Clostridium botulinum. RNAcentral describes it as "partial 23S ribosomal RNA". It matches the Rfam family "Bacterial large subunit ribosomal RNA", at positions 1 to 144 of the family's 2925-position model. Lineage: Bacteria; Bacillati; Bacillota; Clostridia; Eubacteriales; Clostridiaceae. The record is from RNAcentral.
AUAGGUCAAGCUACAAAGGGCGCAUGGUGAAUGCCUUGGCAUCAGGAGCCGAUGAAGGACGCGAUAAGCUGCGAUAAGCUUCGGGUAGACGCACAUAGUCAGAGAUCCGAAGAUUUCCGAAUGAGGAAACUCACAUGGGAAACC